RNAcentral lists this unclassified non-coding RNA (432 nucleotides) under Hevea brasiliensis (rubber tree). Lineage: Eukaryota; Viridiplantae; Streptophyta; Magnoliopsida; Malpighiales; Euphorbiaceae. The record is from RNAcentral.
GCAUCUCAACUCAUCAUACCCAACCCCCAACUACUUUAGUUAUACGCAAGUUCCCAAGUUCCUCUUGGGCAACCUUGAAGAAUGAAUGGCAUAGUUCAUUAUCCUAUUCAGAUUUCCCCAAGUCAGUUAACUGUAAAGUAUUGAAAGGAAACAUGCACGCUUCUUGUUCCUGAGACACAACUAAACGAAAAAUAUAGAGGUGAACAUUUGAUCCCUUUACAAUUCCCGAGAAGCAGAAAUGUGAAACCAAGUGAAAUCAAUUAACUCGGUCUCGUCAAUUUCUUCUCAACAAACCAUUAGGGAGGUAGGAACUCAAUUUACUAAUUGUAAAAUUCCCUGUCACAGCUGACAUGCAGAGACAGGAGCUUCAAUAAUAAAGAUUUCUGAGGGUGAUUAGGUUUCAUUUCUUGAAUUUUCUCAGCAUCCAAGCAA